GAUGAACGCUGGCGGCGUGCCUAAUACAUGCAAGUCGAGCGAACAGACGCGGAGCUUGCUCCUCUGACGUUAACGGCGGACGGGUGAGUAACACGUGGAUAACCUACCUAUAAGACUGGGAUAACUUCGGGAAACCGGAGCUAAUACCGGAUAAUAUAUUGAACGGCAUGGUUCAAUAGUGAAAGACGGUUUUGCUGUCACUUAUAGAUGGAUCCGCGCCGCAUUAGCUAGUUGGUAAGGUACCGGCUUACCAAGGCGACGAUGCGUAGCCGACCUGAGAGGGUGAUGGGGCACACUGGGACUGAGACACGGUCCAGACUCCGACGGGAGGCAGAGGUAGGGAAGCGUCCGCAAUGGGCGAAAGCCUGACGGAGCAGCGCCGCGCGAGUGAUGAAGGUCUUCGGAUCGUAAGACGCUGUUAUUAGGGAAGAACAAAUGUAUAAGUAACUAUGCACGUCGUGACGGUACCUAAUCAGAAAGCAACGGCUAACUACGUG
RNAcentral lists this ribosomal RNA (497 nucleotides) under uncultured bacterium. RNAcentral's name for it is "partial 16S ribosomal RNA". It matches the Rfam family "Bacterial small subunit ribosomal RNA", at positions 28 to 507 of the family's 1533-position model. The record is from RNAcentral.